AUGACGUCAGCUGCUGAAAUCUGCUCCCAGUCUGUGAAAUCAGGCUGGGUACGUGCUGUCUCCCACCCCUUCUCCUGCCUGCGUGGAUGCUGCGUCUCCCUGGGCAGAGCUGCUCUCCCACGAGGUUUUCCAUGCUGCCUUAGCCUUGAAGAACUCCUCUGCAGCUGGCGCCCACACCAGCCAGCAAUGCCUGAAAGGGAACCUUCUGAGGCACAGCAUUUCUGGCAUAUUUUCUGCUUGCCAUCUGUCUGCAGGGAACCAUCCUCAGGGCAGGAGCCUCCUGUGUCACAGGUGAAGAAUAUUCCCCGCAGAGGUUUUCAAAAUAGUGAACAGCCCCCACCCUGUCCUGCAGACAGUGAAAAGCCUCUUCUGGACUGAGCAGUGCCAUGGUAUGUUUGGAUACCUCAUCUCCACAGUACAAGGUACUUCAUAAAUUCAACUGUAUUUCAUGAGCUCAUUAGGAAAGCAAACAGAAAACCUUGGCAAAUAAAGGCUCAAUUUCCUCUGUGCA
This 511-nucleotide long non-coding RNA is filed under the name Junco hyemalis (dark-eyed junco). Its description in RNAcentral is "lncRNA (ENSJHYG00000002433.1)". Lineage: Eukaryota; Metazoa; Chordata; Aves; Passeriformes; Passerellidae. The record is from RNAcentral.